GUCGAGAAUCUUCCGCAAUGCGCGAAAGCGUGACGGAGCGACACCGCGUGAUGGAUGAAGUCCUUCGGGGCGUAAACAUCUUUUAUAAAGGAGGAAAUUUUUGACGUUACUUUAUGAAUAAGGGGCUCCCAAUCUCGUGCCAGCAGGAGCGGUAAUACGAGAGCCUCAAGCGUUAUCCGGAAUCAUUGGGCGUAAAGGGUGCGUAGGUGGUUUGAUUAGUCUCCCGUUAAAACUUCGAGCUUAACUCGAAAAGAGCGGGGGAAACGGUCAAACUAGAGUAUGUGAGAGGUGUGUGGAACUCAUGGUGUAGGGGUGAAAUCCGUUGAUAUCAUGGGGAACACCAAAAGCGAAGGCAGCACACUGGCACAUCACUGACACUGAGGCACGAAACCUAAGGUAGCGAAUGGGAUUAGAAACCCCUGUAGUCC
Molecule: ribosomal RNA, 428 nt
Filed under: uncultured bacterium
Lineage: Bacteria
Description: bacterial SSU rRNA
Rfam family: Bacterial small subunit ribosomal RNA
Source: RNAcentral